This 422-nucleotide ribosomal RNA is filed under the name Microvirga ossetica. RNAcentral describes it as "partial 16S ribosomal RNA". It matches the Rfam family "Bacterial small subunit ribosomal RNA", at positions 355 to 774 of the family's 1533-position model. Lineage: Bacteria; Pseudomonadati; Pseudomonadota; Alphaproteobacteria; Hyphomicrobiales; Methylobacteriaceae. The record is from RNAcentral. RNAcentral also lists the same sequence under 1 other name.
UGAGGAAUAUUGGUCAAUGGGUGCAAGCCUGAACCAGCCAUCCCGCGUGAAGGACGACUGCCCUAUGGGUUGUAAACUUCUUUUGUAUAGGGAUAAACCUACCCUCGUGAGGGUAGCUGAAGGUACUAUACGAAUAAGCACCGGCUAACUCCGUGCCAGCAGCCGCGGUAAUACGGAGGGUGCAAGCGUUAUCCGGAUUUAUUGGGUUUAAAGGGUCCGUAGGCGGACUUAUAAGUCAGUGGUGAAAGCCUGUCGCUUAACGAUAGAACUGCCAUUGAUACUGUAAGUCUUGAGUAUAUUUGAGGUAGCUGGAAUAAGUAGUGUAGCGGUGAAAUGCAUAGAUAUUACUUAGAACACCAAUUGCGAAGGCAGGUUACCAAGAUAUAACUGACGCUGAGGGACGAAAGCGUGGGGAGCAAACA